This 240-nucleotide long non-coding RNA is filed under the name Mytilus galloprovincialis (Mediterranean mussel). The record is from RNAcentral. Lineage: Eukaryota; Metazoa; Mollusca; Bivalvia; Mytilida; Mytilidae.
GGGGGGGGCUAGGAUGAAAAAUCUUGUCCUGCAUUUUUUUUUAGUUUUAAUCUCUGUCCUGCCUUUUUAUUUUUCACUUUAUCCGGUCCUGCUUUUUUUUUUCUUAGUUUAUCCUGACUUUUUUUACAUAAAUUGUCAUCCUGACUUUUUUUGCAAGUGUCUCAUCCUGCUUCUUUUUUUUUUAACUCAAAACUCCUGUCCUGCCUAUUUUUUUUCAAAUUUCAUCCUAGCACCCCCCCC